Molecule: ribosomal RNA, 390 nt
Filed under: uncultured bacterium
Lineage: Bacteria
Description: bacterial SSU rRNA
Rfam family: Bacterial small subunit ribosomal RNA
Source: RNAcentral
AUUGAACGCUGGCGGCAUGCUUUACACAUGCAAGUCGAGCGGCAGCGCGGGGGCAACCCUGGCGGCGAGCGGCGAACGGGUGAGUAAUGCAUCGGAACGUACCCUGGAGUGGGGGAUAACGCCGCGAAAGCGGCGCUAAUACCGCAUAUGCUCUGAGGAGGAAAGUGGGGGACCUGCAAGGGCCUCACGCUCUGGGAGCGGCCGAUGUCCGAUUAGCUAGUUGGUGGGGUAAAGGCUUACCAAGGCGACGAUCGGUAGCUGGUCUGAGAGGAUGAUCAGCCACACUGGGACUGAGACACGGCCCAGACUCCUACGGGAGGCAGCAGUGGGGAAUUUUGGACAAUGGGGGGCAACCCUGAUCCAGCCAUGCCGCGUGAGUGAAGAAGGCCU